CAGGCUUAACACAUGCAAGUCGAGGGGCAGCAUGGUCUUAGCUUGCUAAGGCCGAUGGCGACCGGCGCACGGGUGAGUAACACGUAUCCAACCUGCCGUCUACUCUUGGACAGCCUUCUGAAAGGAAGAUUAAUACAAGAUGGCAUCAUGAGUCCACAUGUUCACAUGAUUAAAGGUAUUCCGGUAGACGAUGGGGAUGCGUUCCAUUAGAUAGUAGGCGGGGUAACGGCCCACCUAGUCUUCGAUGGAUAGGGGUUCUGAGAGGAAGGUCCCCCACAUUGGAACUGAGACACGGUCCAAACUCCUACGGGAGGCAGCAGUGAGGAAUAUUGGUCAAUGGGCGAGAGCCUGAACCAGCCAAGUAGCGUGAAGGAUGACUGCCCUAUGGGUUGUAAACUUCUUUUAUAAAGGAAUAAAGUCGGGUAUGCAUACCCGUUUGCAUGUACUUUAUGAAUAAGGAUCGGCUAACUCCGUGCCAGCAGCCGCGGUAAUACGGAGGAUCCGAGCGUUAUCCGGAUUUAUUGGGUUUAAAGGGAGCGUAGAUGGAUGUUUAAGUCAGUUGUGAAAGUUUGCGGCUCAACCGUAAAAUUGCAGUUGAUACUGGAUAUCUUGAGUGCAGUUGAGGCAGGCGGAAUUCGUGGUGUAGCGGUGAAAUGCUUAGAUAUCACGAAGAACUCCGAUUGCGAAGGCGGCCUGCUAAGCUGCAACUGACAUUGAGGCUCGAAAGUGUGGGUAUCAAACAGGAUUAGAUACCCUGGUAGUCCACACGGUAAACGAUGAAUACUCGCUGUUUGCGAUAUACAGCAAGCGGCCAAGCGAAAGCGUUAAGUAUUCCACCUGGGGAGUACGCCGGCAACGGUGAAACUCAAAGGAAUUGACGGGGGCCCGCACAAGCGGAGGAACAUGUGGUUUAAUUCGAUGAUACGCGAGGAACCUUACCCGGGCUUAAAUUGCAGAUGAAUUACGGUGAAAGCCGUAAGCCGCAAGGCAUCUGUGAAGGUGCUGCAUGGUUGUCGUCAGCUCGUGCCGUGAGGUGUCGGCUUAAGUGCCAUAACGAGCGCAACCCUUGUUGUCAGUUACUAACAGGUCAUGCUGAGGACUCUGACAAGACUGCCAUCGUAAGAUGUGAGGAAGGUGGGGAUGACGUCAAAUCAGCACGGCCCUUACGUCCGGGGCUACACACGUGUUACAAUGGGGGGUACAGAGGGCCGCUACCACGCGAGUGGAUGCCAAUCCCAAAAACCUCUCUCAGUUCGGACUGGAGUCUGCAACCCGACUCCACGAAGCUGGAUUCGCUAGUAAUCGCGCAUCAGCCACGGCGCGGUGAAUACGUUCCCGGGCCUUGUACACACCGCCCGUCAAGCCAUGGGAGCCGGGGGUACCUGAAGUGCGUAACCGCGAGGAGCGCCCUAGGGUAAAACUGGUGACUGGGGC
RNAcentral lists this ribosomal RNA (1434 nucleotides) under uncultured organism. RNAcentral describes it as "16S ribosomal RNA". It matches the Rfam family "Bacterial small subunit ribosomal RNA". The record is from RNAcentral.